UUAAGGAAGGCAGCUCAUCCUGCAGCACCAGGUCUAUAUACAGUAAGGAGUCCCUUCCCCCCUGCUCUCGGGGGAAUGUCGCCCUCCACAGACACCAGCGCAAGGAAGGAGCCCUCCAGUUGUAGGAAUGGGAGACUACAAGUCCCACCUGCGGCCGUCUCUCCCACUCCCUACCCCGCUGAGGAUGCGCCAAGGCCCCACCACCAUGUGACCUGUUGAGGCCUGUGACUACCCUGUUCCUGAUUCCUAGGAGAGCAAUGGUUCAUGGGACAGAUGAGCUAGAGGAGUCCAGACAGAUCUGCACAGGUCACUCCACAGGAGAUCUGCACUCUCUAUACUAGAAACAAAGUGCUUGAAAAAGUUACGAGACUGACACCCGGCCUGGUAAGAACUUCCACCCCAACAAGGACCAAGACCAGAAGGAAAUGAGCCUGGGCUGUGGCUGGGGUUGGGGAAGGGGGCAGGCAGCUCUCUGAGCUAACUCCCCAGCCUUGGGAAGGCCUACCUCCCUGGGUGAGGGAGGCCUUAUUACUUUCUCUUACUUUCCUUAGAUACCUCACAUUCCUGUGAGG
RNAcentral lists this long non-coding RNA (572 nucleotides) under Mus pahari (shrew mouse). Its description in RNAcentral is "lncRNA (MGP_PahariEiJ_G0003817.1)". The record is from RNAcentral. Lineage: Eukaryota; Metazoa; Chordata; Mammalia; Rodentia; Muridae.